AGGGACCUUUUUUCGUUUGGGGUGCGAGGGUAUUGUCCUCAUGUAAAGGUAGCGCAUACACUUAGGGGGGGGGCAUGUCGUGGCUUGGUAAGGGGACGGGAA
Molecule: ribosomal RNA, 102 nt
Filed under: Craterocephalus sp. ZSM 34172-1
Lineage: Eukaryota; Metazoa; Chordata; Actinopteri; Atheriniformes; Atherinidae
Description: partial 12S ribosomal RNA
Source: RNAcentral